Molecule: ribosomal RNA, 465 nt
Filed under: uncultured bacterium
Lineage: Bacteria
Description: partial 16S ribosomal RNA
Rfam family: Bacterial small subunit ribosomal RNA
Source: RNAcentral
CUACGGGGGGCUGCAGUGAGGAAUAUUGCGCAAUGGGGGAAACCCUGACGCAGCGACGCCGCGUGGAUGAUGAAGGCCUUCGGGUCGUAAAAUCCUGUCAGAAGGAAAGAAGUGUAUGGUAGCUAAUAUCUGCCAUACUUGACGGUACCUUCAAAGGAAGCACCGGCUAACUCCGUGCCAGCAGCCGCGGUAAUACGGAGGGUGCAAGCGUUGUUCGGAAUUACUGGGCGUAAAGCGCGCGUAGGCGGUUUUAUAAGUCAGAUGUGAAAGUCCACGGCUCAACCAUGGAAGUGCAUUUGAAACUGUAAGACUUGAGUAUUGGAGGGGGUAGUGGAAUUCCCGGUGUAGAGGUGAAAUUCGUAGAUAUCGGGAGGAAUACCGGUGGCGAAGGCGACUAUCUGGCCAAAUACUGACGCUGAGGUGCGAAAGCGUGGGGAGCAAUCAGGAUUAGAUACCCGUGUAGUC